AUCCCAUGGUGAGGACACUUCCUAAGAAUUUCCUUGAAUCGUUCCCAUGCUUCAUACAAGGACUCGCUCUCAAAUUGAGCAAAAGUGGUAAUAUCAUUAAUUAAUUU
RNAcentral lists this small nucleolar RNA (107 nucleotides) under Nelumbo nucifera (sacred lotus). RNAcentral's name for it is "Plant small nucleolar RNA R71". It matches the Rfam family "Plant small nucleolar RNA R71". From Rfam's summary of the family: R71 is a member of the C/D box family of snoRNAs containing the C (UGAUGA) and D (CUGA) box motifs. Multiple nearly identical copies of this snoRNA have been identified in Arabidopsis, and it is thought to function as a 2'-O-ribose methylation guide for 18S ribosomal RNA. The record is from Rfam by way of RNAcentral. Lineage: Eukaryota; Viridiplantae; Streptophyta; Magnoliopsida; Proteales; Nelumbonaceae.